UACGGAGGGUGCUAGCGUUGUUCGGAAUUACUGGGCGUAAAGCGCGCGUAGGCGGUUUGGUAAGUUGGAAGUGAAAUCCCGGAGCUCAACUCCGGAAUUGCUUUCAAAACUAUCAAGCUAGAGUAUGGUAGGGGAUAGUGGAAUUCCUAGUGUAGAGGUGAAAUUCGUAGAUAUUAGGAGGAACACCAGAGGCGAAGGCGACUAUCUGGACCAUUACUGACGCUAAGGCGCGAAAGCGUGGGGAGCAAACAGG
This 253-nucleotide ribosomal RNA is filed under the name uncultured bacterium. RNAcentral describes it as "partial 16S ribosomal RNA". It matches the Rfam family "Bacterial small subunit ribosomal RNA", at positions 524 to 776 of the family's 1533-position model. The record is from RNAcentral.